This 3186-nucleotide ribosomal RNA is filed under the name Triticum aestivum (bread wheat). Its description in RNAcentral is "partial small subunit ribosomal RNA". Lineage: Eukaryota; Viridiplantae; Streptophyta; Magnoliopsida; Poales; Poaceae. The record is from RNAcentral.
AUGGAGAUUUCUCUUUCUCCCUACCUGCUCGUCGGCCGAGCGUCGACGGUGGAGCAGGGGGGCCAGGGGGCAGAGGCGGAGGCCGGACCCGACGACGCGGUGCUCUUCUUCGGGGUGUCCCUCGUGCUGGGCAUCGCCUCCCGCCACCUCCUCCGCGGCACCCUCCUCCUCGUGCUGAUUCCCGUUCGUGUUGCGUUUGCGUUUGCAUGGGCCGCCAUUAAUCCCGAUCUCCUCCUGGCCGUCUUCCUGCCCGCCCUGCUCUUCGAGAGCUCCUUCUCCAUGGAAGUGCACCAAAUCAAGAAAUGCUUGGCGCAGAUGGUGCUGCUUGCCGUUCCAGGUGUGGUCAUGUCAACGUUUUUGCUUGGCAGCCUUGUCAAGUUUACUUUUCCGCACGACUGGAACUGGAAAACAUCCUUCUUAUUUAGCGGGCUGCUCAGCGCGACCGACCCCGUCGCUGUCGUUACGCUCCUAAAAGACCUUGGAGCAAGCAAAAAGCUCAGCACAAUUAUCGAAGGAGAAUCGCUAAUGAACGACGGUGUUGCUGUCGGCCUCGCGUUUGGAAUUGCAUCAGUUGUAUGGCUGGGCUUUAUUUUCAAUGAUACUAUCAUAGAGAUCUCACUUACUCUCGCCGUCAGCUACAUCGCUUUCUUCACUGCACAAGAUCAAUUGGAGGUCUCUGGUGUUUUGGCCGUCAUGACCUUGGGGAUGUUCUAUGCUGCUUUUGCAAAAACUGCUUUCAAGGGUGACAGCCAGCAAAGUUUACAUCAUUUCUGGGAAAUGGUUGCUUACAUCGCAAACACGCUUAUUUUCAUUCUGAGUGGCGUUGUUAUUGCAGAUGGUGUACUGCAAGAUAAUUUUCAUUUUGAGAGGCAUGGCACAUCAUGGGCGUUCCUUCUUCUGCUCUAUGCGUUUGUGCUAGUAUCACGGGCUGUAGUUAUCAGUGUUUUAUAUCCAUUGUUGCGCCAGUUUGGGUAUGGUAUGGAUGUCAAAGAAGCCGCCAUUCUUGUUUGGUCAGGGCUGCGAGGGGCUGUUGCCCUAUCACUCUCUCUGUCUGUUAAAUUUGUGUUCUUCACUGGUGGCAUCGUGUUUCUGACAUUAAUUUUGAAUGGGUCUAUCACACAAUUUUUGUUGCGCCUGCUUGGUCUGGGAAAAUUAUCAGCAACGAAGCUCCGUGUAUUGAAGUACACACGAUAUGAAAUGCUAAACAAGGCAUUGGAGGCUUUUGGUGAUCUCAGGGAUGACGAGGAACUUGGGCCUGCUGAUUGGAUUACAGUGAAGAAGUAUAUCACAUGUUUGAAUAACUUGGAAGAUGAACAAGCACAUCCCCAUGAUGUUCCAGACAGGGAUGAUCACGUACAUACCAUGCAUUUGAAGGUUACUCGUGUGCGGCUUUUGAAUGGUGUGCAAGCUGCUUACUGGGGAAUGCUUGAAGAGGGACGAAUAACUCAAUCUACAGCAAACAUUUUAAUGAGAUCAGUUGAUGAAGCUAUGGAUCUUGUUUCUAGCCAGCCAUUAUGCGAUUGGAAGGGUUUGCGGUCCAAUGUUCAAUUCCCAAGUUACUAUAGGUUCCUUCAGAUGAGCAGGUUGCCACGAAGGCUUGUCACAUACUUCACAGUGGAAAGAUUGGAGUUGGGAUGUUACAUUAGUGCGGCAUUUCUCCGUGCUCAUAGGAUUGCGAGGAGACAACUACAUGAUUUUCUUGGUGAUAGUGAGAUUGCAAAAAUUGUCAUCGAUGAAAGUACUGCUGCGGGGGAAGAAGCCAAAAAGUUCCUGGAAGAUGUUCGGAUUACAUUCCCUCAGGUACUUCGUGCAUUAAAGACUCGACAAGUAACAUAUGCAGUAUGCUCUGCAGACUUGAAGAAGCUUAAGAGGAACCCGCCGCUGGUGAAAAUGCCAAGAGUUAGGGAACUUUUAAACACUCAUCCUUUAGUCGGCGCACUGCCUGCUGCUCUUCGUGAUCCGUUGUUAAGUAAUACAAAGGAAACAAUAAAAGGACACGGAACAAUUCUUUACGGAGAAGGCUCAAGGCCGACUGGUAUAUGGCUUGUUUCGACUGGAAUAGUAAAGUGGACAAGUCGGAGAUUUAGCACCAGGCAUUCAUUGGAUCCAAUUUUGUCACAUGGGAGCACUUUGGGUCUGUAUGAGGCAUUAACUGGAAAGCCUUACAUUUGUGACAUCAUUACAGAGUCGGUGGUGCAUUGUUUCUUCGUUGAAGCUGAUACAAUAGAGCAAUUGCGCCAGUCGGAUCCUUCUAUUGAGGAUUUCAUGUGGCAGGAGAGCGCUCUUGUUAUUGCGAGGAUUUUUCUCCCUCAGAUAUUUGAGAAGAUGGUAAUGCGUGAGAUGAGGGUGCUCAUUUCUGAAAGAUCUAGUACGAACAUCUACAUUCUGGGGGAAGACAUUGAACUCGGGCAUAAUUACGUAGGCAUCUUACUGGAAGGGUUUCUGAAGACAAAGAACCUACAUUCUAUCAUGGCUCCAGCCGUGCUGCUGCCAUCAAACACUGAUCUGAACUUAUUUGGCCUUCAGCCUUCAGGUACCGUGAACCACGUAGACUACUGCUAUACUGCACCCAGUUAUCAGGUGGAAACUAGAGCAAGGGUCAUCUUAUUUGAGCUAGGGAGGCCGGGGAGAGAAGCCGAUCUGCAAAGAAGUGGAUCGCUGCUGCCUCCGUCCCUCGGACUGCCACGCACGCAGAGCAAAGAGCAUGUCGGUUUGCUGAGGUGGCCCGACAGCUUCAAGAGGUCCAGAGGGCCCGGAAACCCAAGCCUGGCUGACAUCAGAGACCAGCCUGGCAGCUACUCUGCCAGAGCCCUGCAAGUCAGCAUGUAUGGCGGCAUGAUGGAUGAUGACAUUGGCAUGCACCCUGCUCAGCGGCGGCGGCAGCCGAGGCCUGAUAAUGCGGAAGCAAACCAGAAGCACAGCGCAUCAUAUCCCAAGGUGCCUUCAGGGGCAUCCACCACCACCACCACACGGCGUCUGCUCUCUGUAAAGUCGGAGGGUUCCAAUGUGAUGAACAGGAAACCCGCUCCACCCCUCGCAGAAGGCCAGCGACUGCAACCCAGGGCGGUAGCGGAAGAUGGCAACUCGAGCGAUGAGUCCACGGGCGAAGAGAUUGUUGUAACAGUGGACUCUCCCAGCAUGCUCUCUCUACAUCCAACGCGCUCCAGCCCGCCGCGAGGCAACUGA